ACUAAGUUUAUUUUUUAGUUUUUAGAUACAAUGUUUUGACUCUUUAUCUUAUUUGAAUUUUUUUGUGAUUAAUAUUUUUAUUGUUACUAAAUGGUAAAACAUGAAUAAUUUAUGUGUGACUAAUUUUUUUUAAAUAAGAUGAAUGAUCAAACGUUGCACACAAAAAUUAAAAAAUAAAGUUAUU
RNAcentral lists this microRNA precursor (184 nucleotides) under Oryza brachyantha (malo sina). Its description in RNAcentral is "MIR812 microRNA precursor family". It matches the Rfam family "MIR812 microRNA precursor family". Lineage: Eukaryota; Viridiplantae; Streptophyta; Magnoliopsida; Poales; Poaceae. The record is from Rfam by way of RNAcentral.